Molecule: long non-coding RNA, 205 nt
Filed under: Salvia miltiorrhiza (redroot sage)
Lineage: Eukaryota; Viridiplantae; Streptophyta; Magnoliopsida; Lamiales; Lamiaceae
Description: long non-coding RNA (SMIL_LNC014337)
Source: RNAcentral
AGAGAGAGAGAAAGAGAAGAGAAGAGAAAGAGAGAGGAGAGAGAGAGUUGAGAUUAGUAUAUUUUUUUUGAAAAUAUGUAGUGUAUUUGUGAUGAUAUAUUAGUGGGUAUUUUUUUAAUUUUUAUCUUAAGGGCAGUUUAGUCAUUUAACACAAAAGUGGGUAAUUUUUAAUGUUUUAAUUUGAGUAGGUAAAUUUUUAAUUUAC